Molecule: ribosomal RNA, 497 nt
Filed under: uncultured bacterium
Lineage: Bacteria
Description: partial 16S ribosomal RNA
Rfam family: Bacterial small subunit ribosomal RNA
Source: RNAcentral
GAUGAACGCUGGCGGCGUGCCUAAUACAUGCAAGUCGAGCGAACGGACGAGAAGCUUUCUUCUCUGAUGUUAGCGGCGGACGGGUGAGUAACACGUGGAUAACCUACCUAUAAGACUGGGAUAACUUCGGGAAACCGGAUCUAAUACCGGAUAAUAUUUUGAACCGCAUGGUUCAAAAGUGAAAGACGGUCUUGCUGUCACUUAUAGAUGGAUCCGCGCUGCAUUAGCUAGUUGGUAAGGUAACGGCUUACCAAGGCAACGAUGCAUAGCCGACCUGAGAGGGUGAUCGGCCACACUGGAACUGAGACACGGUCCAGACUCCUACGGGAGGCAGCAGUAGGGAAUCUUCCGCAAUGGGCGAAAGCCUGACGGAGCAACGCCGCGUGAGUGAUGAAGGUCUUAGGAUCGUAAAACUCUGUUAUUAGGGAAGAACAUAUGUGUAAGUAACUGUGCACAUCUUGACGGUACCUAAUCAGAAAGCCACGGCUAACUACGUG